RNAcentral lists this ribosomal RNA (463 nucleotides) under uncultured bacterium. RNAcentral describes it as "partial 16S ribosomal RNA". It matches the Rfam family "Bacterial small subunit ribosomal RNA", at positions 28 to 507 of the family's 1533-position model. The record is from RNAcentral.
GAUGAACGCUGACAGAAUGCUUAACACAUGCAAGUCGAUGGGGAAGUGGUGCUUGCACCAUGGUAACCAUGGCGGACGGGUGAGUAACGCGUAAGGAACUUACCUGCGGGACCGGGAUAACAGCAGGAAACUGCUGACAAGACCGGAUAAGGUCAUUAAGCUGCAUAGCUUAGUGAUGAAAGGAGACGCCUGCGGAGAGCCUUGCGUCCUAUUAGCUAGUUGGAGGGGUAACGGCCCACCAAGGCGAAGAUAGGUAGCCGGCCUGAGAGGGUGGACGGCCACAAGGGGACUGAGAUACGGCCCUUACUCCUACGGGAGGCAGCAGUGGGGAAUAUUGGACAGUGGGGGCAACCCUGAUCCAGCAAUUCUGUGUGCACGAAGACGGUUUUCGGAUUGUAAAGUGCUUUCAGCAGGGAAGAAGGAAGUGACGGUACCUGCAGAAGAAGCGACGGCUAAAUACGUG